GAUUUCCUUAGUAACGGCGAGCGAACAGGAAACUGUCCAGCCACAAGUCUUCACAAUUUAUUUGUUCAAGAUANGCCGCGNUAACACAGUGGCGCAUCGUGCAUUGUUUCUCAUUUCAAGUUCCUUUGACAAGGACAUCCAUAGUAGGUGCUAGGCCUAUAGAGAUGAAAAACUGAUGCACGCAGGCCAUUGCAUUCUAGAGUCAGGUUGCUUGAGAGUGCAGCUUAAAGUCGGUGGUAAACUCCAUCUAAGACUAAAUAUGACAGCGAGACCGAUAGCAAACAAGUNCCGUGAGGGAAAGUUGCAAAGCACUUUGAAGAGAGAGUUCAAUAGUACGUGAAACCACUGGUGGGCAAACAGAUGGAACUGCGAAGUAUGCGCCUCGGUCGAUUCAAUCAUCGUCGAUGGUUUGAUGUGUUGCAAGAUGAAUCUCUGGAGAUUGGUGCAACGCUUGAAUGAUCCAUAGAUGGUGGUGCAUUUCGUGCCGAGGAUGUAAAGUCACGUUCGACUAGAGUUGGGACAGCCGUAGGACAGAAUUAAGGAAAGGUGACUGUUGAGUGGUUUGCCACUAUAAACGGUGUUUAUAGUCCUUGAUUGGUACUGUCGCCUAACAUGCUGGUCGAUGUAAAUUCUCCUAAUUUUGGAGUGAAAAAUUGUGCUUGCCUAUGACAAUUGAAUGGGCAUUUCGAGAUGGGCUUUACGUGUCCKUGGAUGCGGAAAGACAUUUCAACAGUGUCGGUUCGGUGUUGUUUGCAUUGCACAAUGGAACUGUGACGAGAGUAGGUCGGUGUCCAUCUGACCCGUCUUGAAACACGGACCAAGGAGUCUAUCAUAUACGCGAGUCGCUCGGUCUUGUUUAGGCCUGAGAGGCGUAAUGAAAGUAACGUUACGAGAUGUAAACAAUCGCAGUAACGGCUCGCCUACUUCGUUUAUUGGCGAUAUGGCGACGCUGGAGCGUAUACGAUGGUACCCGAAAGAUGGUGAACUAUGCCUGGGCAAGACGAAGCCAGAGGAAACUCUGGUGGAGGUCUGUAGCGAUUCUGACGUGCAAAUCGAUCGUCAGACCUGGGUAUAGGGGCGAAAGACUAAUCGAACCAUCUAGUAGCUGGUUCCUUCCGAAGUUUUCCUCAGAAUAGCAGGCGCUUGUUAGUCAGUCUCAUCCGGUAAAGCUAAUGAUUAGAGAUCUUGGGAUUGAAACGAUCUCAAUCUAUUCUCAAACUUUGAAUGGGUGAGAUGGUUGACUUUCUUGAUUGAAGCCAACCAAUUGGAUGUAAGUGCCUAGUGGGCCAGCUUUGGUAAGCAGAACUGGCGCUGUGGGAUGAACCAAACGUCGAGAUAAGGUAUCAAAUGCAUACGCUCAUUAGACCCCAUGAAAAGUGUUGGUUGCUAUAGACAGCAGGACGGUGGCCAUGGAAGUCGGAAUCC
Molecule: ribosomal RNA, 1425 nt
Filed under: Yunkeracarus sp. AD554
Lineage: Eukaryota; Metazoa; Arthropoda; Arachnida; Sarcoptiformes; Gastronyssidae
Description: eukaryotic LSU rRNA
Rfam family: Eukaryotic large subunit ribosomal RNA
Source: RNAcentral